Molecule: ribosomal RNA, 371 nt
Filed under: uncultured organism
Description: bacterial SSU rRNA
Rfam family: Bacterial small subunit ribosomal RNA
Source: RNAcentral
CGUAGGGACCAAGCGUUGUUCGGAUUUACUGGGCGUAAAGGGCGCGUAGGCGGCAAUUCAAGUCAGCUGUGAAAUCUCCGGGCUUAACUCGGAACGGUCAGCUGAUACUGCUUUGCUAGAGUGCAGAAGGGGCAAUCGGAAUUCUUGGUGUAGCGGUGAAAUGCGUAGAUAUCAAGAGGAACACCUGAGGUGAAGACGGGUUGCUGGGCUGACACUGACGCUGAGGCGCGAAAGCUAGGGUAGCAAACGGGAUUAGAUACCCCGGUAGUCCUAGCCCUAAACGAUGAAUACUUGGUGUCUGGAGUUUUAUCCUCCGGGUGCCGUCGCUAACGUUUUAAGUAUUCCGCCUGGGGAGUACGCACGCAAGUGUG